UACGUAGGGUGCAAGCGUUGUCCGGAAUUAUUGGGCGUAAAGAGCUCGUAGGCGGUUUGUCGCGUCUGCCGUGAAAGUCCGGGGCUCAACUCCGGAUCUGCGGUGGGUACGGGCAGACUAGAGUGAUGUAGGGGAGACUGGAAUUCCGUGGUGUAGCGGUGAAAUGCGCAGAUAUCAGGAGGAACACCGAUGGCGAAGGCAGGUCUCUGGGCAUUAACUGACGCUGAGGAGCGAAAGCAUGGGGAGCGAACAGG
Molecule: ribosomal RNA, 254 nt
Filed under: uncultured bacterium
Lineage: Bacteria
Description: partial 16S ribosomal RNA
Rfam family: Bacterial small subunit ribosomal RNA
Source: RNAcentral